GACGAACGCUGGCGGCGUGCUUAACACAUGCCAGUCGAACGGAAAGGCCUCUUUCGGGGGGUACUCGAGUGGCGAACGGGUGAGUAACACGUGAGUAACCUGCCCUUGACUUUGGGAUAACUUCAGGAAACUGGGGCUAAUACCGGAUAGGAGCUCCUGCUGCAUGGUGGGGGUUGGAAAGUUUCGGCGGUUGGGGAUGGACUCGCGGCUUAUCAGCUUGUUGGUGGGUAGUUGCCUACCAAGGGCUUGACGGGUAGCCGGGCCGGGAGGGUGACCGGCCACAUUGGGACUGAGAUACGGCCCAGACUCCUACGGGAGGCAGGAGGGGGGAAUAUUGCACAAUGGGGGGAAGCCUGAUGCAGCCACGCCGUGUGCGGGAUGACGGCCUUCGGGUUGUAAACCGCUUUCGCUCAUGACGAAGCUUUGUGUGACGGUAGUGGGUAAAGAAGCACCGGCUAACUACGUG
Molecule: ribosomal RNA, 466 nt
Filed under: uncultured bacterium
Lineage: Bacteria
Description: partial 16S ribosomal RNA
Rfam family: Bacterial small subunit ribosomal RNA
Source: RNAcentral